RNAcentral lists this ribosomal RNA (657 nucleotides) under uncultured Acidobacteriota bacterium. Its description in RNAcentral is "SSU rRNA". It matches the Rfam family "Bacterial small subunit ribosomal RNA", at positions 242 to 917 of the family's 1533-position model. Lineage: Bacteria; Pseudomonadati; Acidobacteriota. The record is from RNAcentral.
CAGCUAGUUGGUAAGGUAAUGGCUUACCAAGGCGACGAUCAGUAUCCGGCCUGAGAGGGCGCACGGACACACUGGAACUGAAACACGGUCCAGACUCCUACGGGAGGCAGCAGUGGGGAAUUUUGCGCAAUGGGGGAAACCCUGACGCAGCAACGCCGCGUGGAGGAUGAAGGUCUUUGGAUUGUAAACUCCUUUCGAUCGGGACGAUUAUGACGGUACCGGAAGAAGAAGCACCGGCUAACUCUGUGCCAGCAGCCGCGGUAAUACAGAGGGUGCAAGCGUUGUUCGGAAUUAUUGGGUGUAAAGGGUUCGUAGGCGGUGUGGCAAGUUGGGAGUGAAAUCUCUGGGCUCAACCCAGAGGCUGCUUCCAAAACUGCUGUGCUUGAGUGUGGGAGAGGCGCGUGGAAUUGCAGGUGUAGCGGUGAAAUGCGUAGAUAUCUGCAGGAACACCCGUGGCGAAAGCGGCGCGCUGGACCACAACUGACGCUGAGGAACGAAAGCUAGGGGAGCAAACAGGAUUAGAUACCCUGGUAGUCCUAGCCCUAAACGAUCAGGACUUGGGGUGCCGCACGUUCGUGCGUCGUCCCGGAGCUAACGCGUUAAGUCCUGCACCUGGGGAGUACGGUCGCAAGACUGAAACUCAAAGGAAAUGACGGA